RNAcentral lists this ribosomal RNA (229 nucleotides) under uncultured bacterium. Its description in RNAcentral is "partial 16S ribosomal RNA". It matches the Rfam family "Bacterial small subunit ribosomal RNA", at positions 93 to 339 of the family's 1533-position model. The record is from RNAcentral.
GAGUGGCGCACGGGUGAGUAACGCGUGGGGAUCUACCCAGCAGUAAGGGAUAACAUCGGGAAACUGGUGCUAAUACCUUAUACGGCCUUAGGGCGAAAGAUUUAUCGCUGUUGGAUGAACCCGCGUAGGAUUAGCUAGUUGGUGAGGUAAAAGCUCACCAAGGCUCCGAUCCUUAGCUGGUCUGAGAGGAUGAUCAGCCACACUGGGACUGAGACACGGCCCAGACUCC